AUGUCUUCUUCAAGCUCCCGCGCCACCUCGCGGAUGCAGAGCCCGGCGCGCGUGGAGAUGCCUAUCUUCGUCUGUCCUCGGUGCCGGGCGGGCGUUGAUCGGAGGGUUUCUCACACACCGAAGAACCGGAAUCGUCCGUUGUACGUGUGCAGUGACAAUGGGGUGAAAUGUUUCUUUCUUUGGGUCGAGGCCAAGACUCUGAUGAGUGAACUGCAAGAAGAGCAUGAAGAAUGGUUGCGCAUGCUGCCACGAACGGCAAUGGCCGCAGCACGAGCUCCGGAAGAAGAGAUGGAGGGCGAAGCACGCACUGACAGAGAGCUAGCUGUUGAGCUUAGGAUGUUGAAGAAGAAGGUUAGGAUGCUUGAAGAUCAAGCACAAAUACCAAUACCCAUUUUCAAUUACUUUUGGGCAUUUGUAGGUAUGGUAAUCGCACUGGGUGUAAUGUUGAAAUUGUAUGGAAAGGCAUGA
RNAcentral lists this ribosomal RNA (468 nucleotides) under Triticum aestivum (bread wheat). RNAcentral describes it as "partial small subunit ribosomal RNA". The record is from RNAcentral. Lineage: Eukaryota; Viridiplantae; Streptophyta; Magnoliopsida; Poales; Poaceae.